RNAcentral lists this unclassified non-coding RNA (1552 nucleotides) under Monomorium pharaonis (pharaoh ant). RNAcentral's name for it is "divergent protein kinase domain 2A, transcript variant X1". The record is from RNAcentral. Lineage: Eukaryota; Metazoa; Arthropoda; Insecta; Hymenoptera; Formicidae.
ACAUAACCUGUAAACGCAUGUUCUAUAUAAUUUUGGAAUGUGCAGUUAUGCAGUCAACAAACACAUAACGAAAAAGUUUGCAAAAUAUGAUAUGCCUUUAUGCGAAAAGAUAAAAAAAGAAUUUAAUUAUUGAUUUUCAUGAUUCUGUAUCAUAUACGUAACAUAAUCCUCGGAUUUAAAAAAUGGAGAAUAUUACUGUUAAUCGGUACCUGCGUUCUUGCUUUGAGAAUAAAUGUUAUUUUGCAAACUUUGUAUCCUUCAGUAACGCAGCUGACGGAGCUGCACAAGUGUCCGGUGUGUUACGGGGCUUCCGCGUGUCAUAACGUUCAUAGAAUAGAUCUUCUAUGGAAUGAUGUUAAUGCAGUAAUCUCCCAUUUGUUUGGCGUUAAAAACGUAUUCUAUGGAACGUAUAAUCAGAGCAAAGUGGUGCUAAAGAAGUUGGCAUACUCUUCUGAAUUGAAAGCACUGGACGUUACAUUGUGCAACAAACUCCAUUUGGCAUAUCCUUGCUUGAAUGUUCCAUUAGAUGAAUAUGCAACAGAUUUUUAUGGUCUAAUCAGAAGGACAAUUACCUCUGAUUUUUCUAAGGAUGAUACUAGUCGCUUGAGACUUUGUCCGACAAUAGAACAUUUAGAUGAUCUAUUUUACAAUAUCCAUCUUAACAAUAAACAUAUAGAUCCUACGCAAUACCUAAUUAAUCUCUGGACAUUAGUUUCUAUAAAUCCAGAGCCAUUAAUUCUUCAGAUAUUAUCUGCUGAAGAUGGAUGGCCUGUACCAAAAUAUUUUGGAGCUUGUGGCCGGGUUAUUAUUGAAGAAUAUAUUGGGUCACCACUUUCUGAUUGUUAUGACAAAUCUUGGAUUGAAAGAGUAAAAAUCGCUUCAAGCCUUUUAAAUGCUGCUUACAUGUUUACUUUUAAAAACGAAAAAUUCAGUUUUUAUUUAACGGAUAUAUCGGCCGACAAUAUUGCUGUUGACCAUGAAAAUGUAGCGAAGUUUAUUGAUUUAGAAAAUAUUAUUAUUGUUGACAAAGAUAUUUCUCAAGAAGAUAAAUUAAAAGAAUGGCAGAAAAUACAUAACAACAUGAUGCACCUCGAUUGUCCUAAUUGUUUUGCAUUUUCUGCCGAGGAUAUUUGUAAUCAUCAUUUAAGUGACCACAAUUAUUAUGCAAUUUGUCAGACUGAGCACGAGCAACAUUGAGGAAUUGAUAGAAAGCACGUUGAUACCUUCCUUUCAGUACAUCAAAUUCCACUGUAUUAAGUGAUUCGAUUAAGACACCGGUGGCUUGAGUCAUUGCUUGCUGUCUUGCCGUUCGUUGUGCGACUUCCCCAUUGUUUUGAUUGUUUUUACUGUUUAUGCGAAAGGUUGAACUUGUGCUAUUAUCCAUCCCUAAAUAGUUCAGGAUUUUGAAAUUUCAGAUACAAUGUAUUCUAGUCUUAAAAAAUUAUAAAAAUAUUAACUUGAAUUCUUAACAAUGAAAAAUGAUGCAAUGUAUGAUGCAUUUAUGACAUAAUUAAAUAUGAGAAAAAUUAAUAAAAAAAUUAUCGUAAAUAAA